AGUCCUUUUAGAAAUGGGACACUUUCAUUUGCCAAUAGCUCGUUAACUAGUUAUUGGAUAUUAAAAAUUUUGACAGCAUUUUGUUGCCUGUAAAAAGUACUAUUUGACCUAUUUUUUUCAAAAUUUAAAAUUUACGCGUUUUUUAGAUAUGUACGAUGCAAGAGAAAAAGAAAAAAAUAAUUUUGCACAGUUUCCUAUAAAAUUCGUCAUUAUCAAAUUGAUAGCUGACAAAACCGUCGAUUAUUCAAAGAAUUACUGAGCUUUUGUGGUGGAUAAGCAUGCAAACACUGUCAAUAAUGUCCACAAAGUUCAAAUCAAGCAUUGAAGUGAAGCAAAUGAUCGGCAACAACGGUUAAGGAUCAUCAAAGAAGUCAAGUCUCAUACCAGCAUUUUUAAUUUUCAAUAAACGAAAAACUAAGGGUAGAUCGCUGAAAUGUCCAAAACAAUUUUCUGCGAUUAACUGAAAGUGUUGCGUAGUGAUGACUCAUUGAAAUCCAACCUCAAACAACCAUUUUUUGAUGGUUCCAAAGCUCUUAAGCUGUGAAACCGUUUCCAGUUUCCAGAGAAGUAUUGAACCAAAAAGUAUCAGAAAUUGAAGAAAGAGAGUGAAGCCACCUAAAAUAUAGAUUUUACGAAGUAUAAGUUGGAGAAACUGAUCAAUACCAUGACUAAAAAAAGUGUGCGCCGGCCAAUGGGAGAUACCAAGAAUAAAGUAGAAAUUUCUUUAACAAAAAACGAAAGUAUUUGGUUCAAACGAAUGGUUUUUGAGAUACAGGCAUUCGUAACUGUCCCAUUUCUAAAAGAACUAAGCUUUAG
This is a long non-coding RNA of Uranotaenia lowii, 816 nucleotides long. RefSeq lists it as uncharacterized. The record is from RefSeq and is a predicted model, not a curated record. NCBI's taxonomy places the organism in Eukaryota, Metazoa, Arthropoda, Insecta, Diptera, Culicidae. The transcript has 3 exons.